Molecule: long non-coding RNA, 414 nt
Organism: Astyanax mexicanus (Mexican tetra)
Lineage: Eukaryota; Metazoa; Chordata; Actinopteri; Characiformes; Acestrorhamphidae
Exons: 3
Source: RefSeq, a predicted model, not a curated record
UGCUUCCAAUAUGGCUCCCGUGUGCUCUUGGUUCCCUGCUUUAUGGUUGAUUGUGUGAGACUACAGCUCAAUUUUAGAGUGUUAGAACUGAUCUGAUGGUGAGAAGCUAGUUUACUGCUCACUUACACAGAUUAUCUCAGUCUCUCUGGGAGAAAUGUGUUUUCUCUUGGUUUGUUUAGUUGGGUUAACUAUUUGUCUUCUUUUCUUUUUUAUGCUCUGUUGACUUUGUUGGCCAACUUUGGCUGUGUGUUUGGUUGGGGAACCAGGACGGCACUGGAGUCUCAUUUUACGUUGUGGUGCGACCUAGACCAGCUGCAAGGCCAUAAGUGAGGUCAGGAUGUUGAAUAAUCACCACCCUACUUCAUCCCCAACUCCCUAACUCAUCCCAGAGCUGUUGGUUGGAGCUUCAUCUUU